Molecule: non-coding RNA, 779 nt
Organism: Camelina sativa (false flax)
Lineage: Eukaryota; Viridiplantae; Streptophyta; Magnoliopsida; Brassicales; Brassicaceae
Source: RefSeq, a predicted model, not a curated record
UGGUGGUGGUGUGAUAUUCCUCUGAACCCGGCGCUGCGUCUCUGAUUGAUUUCAUGGUUCGUUCGUACAACUGUGAUAUUCUUCUUAGGGUUUGGAGGUGUUAUCACGCGGAAGCUAAUUCUCAUGAGAUCCGAUUUCAUCGUUCCGCCUCCGCUUCUGAUGAAUUUUCACUCCUCCUUCCUAGGAUUCUGAUUGAAUUUUCAAUUAGGGUUUCUAAUUAAUUGCAUCGUUAAUUGCUUUUUUUUUGUCUUACUAAUUGAAUUUUCACUUAGGGUUUCGCUUUUGUUUUGUUGAUUUAAGAUUUUGUGAGACGAACAUUGAUCGUUAGUCAAGUGUUUUCCCCCGGCCAAUUCUUAAUUCAUAUAUGUAAGCAAUUUUGUUGUUGUUGAUGUAUAUAUCUAAACCUAAAACCAUCUUCUCUCUUUGAUGCAGAUCGUCGUGGUUCCGUUGAAUCUUAUCUUCUUCUGCUAUCAUCAUCGAUCUGUUUAGGUUUGCAUAAAUUGGAUGUGUUUGAAAAGCUUGAAUCUAACUAUAAGGCUGAAGAAAAGGUAAUGAAGAAGUUGCAGAAGGAGAAGAAUCUGAUAACGGAGAUUAUGACCAGAUUCUGUGAAACAACUAUCUACAAGAAAACAACUCAUCACCGGGGAAAAGAAGAAGCUCAAUCUUCGACGCAAAGAUUCCAUUGUUUUUUAAUUUUUUAUUUAGGUGCUACUGAAGUGGACCUCUACAAGGCACCAGAAUUGUCUCAAGCCAAAUGCAGUAAUCAGAUUAAUGUUUAA